Molecule: transfer RNA, 359 nt
Filed under: uncultured Microcystis sp.
Lineage: Bacteria; Bacillati; Cyanobacteriota; Cyanophyceae; Chroococcales; Microcystaceae
Description: partial miscellaneous RNA
Rfam family: tRNA (bases 135-208)
Source: RNAcentral
AAGGGAGACCUAAUUCAGGUAGGAGACGAAAAAAAAGUAGUCGCUACCAAGAAUCAAUCCCAAAAGGUCGGAGCGAGGCGAAAUUGGCUUUCAAACUAGGUUCUGGGUUCAAACAAGACCUGAAUCAGGAACAAGGGCUAUUAGCUCAGGUGGUUAGAGCGCACCCCUGAUAAGGGUGAGGUCCCUGGUUCGAGUCCAGGAUGGCCCACCUGCACAGGUGGCAAAAACAAGAGAAGCGAGGAAUCAGCACCUUAUCUUACUGACAUAGUAAGAGAGAAUGCUGGCUCUGGGUAAAGAGUCCAGAGGAACCUUGAAAACUGCAUAGAGCUAGGUGAAAAAGCCAAAAAAGAAGACCGCAA